This 555-nucleotide long non-coding RNA is filed under the name Mus spicilegus (steppe mouse). RNAcentral's name for it is "lncRNA (ENSMSIG00000000977.1)". Lineage: Eukaryota; Metazoa; Chordata; Mammalia; Rodentia; Muridae. The record is from RNAcentral.
GUUCAUUCAGGUUUCUGGGUCAGGUCCCAGCUCUUAUUCUUAUUCCUAGAGGCUGAGCAUCUCAGUGGAUGGUUAAAAUCUCCAUGCUAAGGUAGACGGGAAGAGAGUUGUCAUGAGUGGGGUACAGGGAAAGGAAGGCAUCUCAGACAGAAACCCUGUCUCAGCCCCUUAGGACUACAAUUUCAUCGUGAAGUGUGAGAAGGUCUCCUGAAUGGAGAAAUAGCACACAGUCACGAAGAGCCUAGCUUGCAAAUGGCUGUUGUGGCUUUUCAUUGACAUUGAUUGGACUGUUUGAAGACUUUAGUUUCCAUCAUCAAUGGAAUCUAGUGAUUUUCACUAAUGGAUUUAUGAAAGAGACUUCAAUACGUCAGGAUGGCAUUUCUGAAAUCCUCAGGAAGGAAUGGAGAAGAGAGUCACUGUUCCUUGAGCUGCCUGAGAUGGAAGAACACAGAGACUACAACCACAGGGGCGAAACCUAUCAGGGUUCAGAGUGGAGCCAAGACAGAAGGCUGUUACUGCCCACUACUUUUUCUGAAACUUUAACUUUCUUGAAGC